GGAGGGGGGGAUCUUAGGACCUCUCGCUACAGGGGCGGCCGAUGGCAGAUUAGCUAGUUGGUGGGGUAAAGGCCUACCAAGGCGACGAUCUGUAGCUGGUCUGAGAGGACGACCAGCCACACUGGGACUGAGACACGGCCCAGACUCCUACGGGAGGCAGCAGUGGGGAAUUUUGGACAAUGGGGGCAACCCUGAUCCAGCAAUGCCGCGUGUGUGAAGAAGGCCUUCGGGUUGUAAAGCACUUUUGUCCGGAAAGAAAACGCUCUGGUUAAUACCCGGGGCGGAUGACGGUACCGGAAGAAUAAGCACCGGCUAACUACGUGCCAGCAGCCGCGGUAAUACGUAGGGUGCAAGCGUUAAUCGGAAUUACUGGGCGUAAAGCGUGCGCAGGCGGUCCGCUAAGACAGAUGUGAAAUCCCCGGGCUUAACCUGGGAACUGCAUUUGUGACUGGCGGG
This 456-nucleotide ribosomal RNA is filed under the name uncultured Burkholderia sp. Its description in RNAcentral is "bacterial SSU rRNA". It matches the Rfam family "Bacterial small subunit ribosomal RNA", at positions 189 to 640 of the family's 1533-position model. Lineage: Bacteria; Pseudomonadati; Pseudomonadota; Betaproteobacteria; Burkholderiales; Burkholderiaceae. The record is from RNAcentral.